GCCCAGCACGGCCCGCUCCCGCCAUGUCCCUCAUCCCGGCCGCUGCCCUGGUGGGGGUUUGUUUUCUAGCCCCUCCUAGCCCCACUGGGGCUUCCCCCCAGCCUGGUCCCGGGAUUCUGCCGGGUGCCCCUGUCGGGCCUUGGGCACCCCCACAAAUCCUGUCACUGCUGCUCAAGGCUGCUACAGCACACUCUGGCUACCCGGCAAUGUGUUCAGCUAGGACCGUCGGCCUCGGCCUCGGAACACCUCAUUUUCUGCUAACACAGCCAGACACGCGAGCAGCUCCCAGCGGCGCUGGGACCGGCGGGCUCUCCAGGCUCACACCCUCGCUUUGACAGCACGACCGGGACUGGGAUCACAGAAACCCUUGGGAAGCCAAGGCCGGAUGGAAGCAGUGAGAUCAUACACAGGCCACUGAAGGAUUGUAAAUUCCUA
Long non-coding RNA from Hirundo rustica (Barn swallow), 435 nucleotides. RefSeq lists it as uncharacterized. The transcript is spliced from 3 exons. The record is from RefSeq and is a predicted model, not a curated record. Lineage: Eukaryota; Metazoa; Chordata; Aves; Passeriformes; Hirundinidae.